Molecule: non-coding RNA, 29 nt
Filed under: Homo sapiens (human)
Lineage: Eukaryota; Metazoa; Chordata; Mammalia; Primates; Hominidae
Source: RNAcentral
UAAGAACUUCACCAUGGAAUUAGCUGAUG